RNAcentral lists this ribosomal RNA (467 nucleotides) under uncultured bacterium. Its description in RNAcentral is "partial 16S ribosomal RNA". It matches the Rfam family "Bacterial small subunit ribosomal RNA", at positions 29 to 507 of the family's 1533-position model. The record is from RNAcentral.
ACGAACGCUGGCGGCGUGCUUAACACAUGCAAGUCGAACGGUGAAGCUCCAGCUUGCUGGAGUGGAUCAGUGGCGAACGGGUGAGUAACACGUGAGCAACCUGCCCCUGACUCUGGAAUAAGCGCUGGAAACGGCGUCUAAUACUGGAUACGAGAAGGGUCCGCAUGGGCACUUUCUGGAAAGUUUUUCGGUUGGGGAUGGGCCCGCGGCCUAUCAGCUUGUUGGUGAGGUAAUGGCUCACCAAGGCGACGACGGGUAGCCGGCCUGAGAGGGCGACCGGCCACACUGGGACUGAGACACGGCCCAGACUCCUACGGGAGGCAGCAGUGGGGAAUAUUGCACAAUGGGCGAAAGCCUGAUGCAGCGACGCCGCGUGAGGGAUGACGGCCUUCGGGUUGUAAACCUCUUUCAGCAGGGAAGAAGCGAAAGUGACGGUACCUGCAGAAGAAGCACCGGCUAACUACGUG